ACCCUCAGAUAUGAUGGCUAUGACCCAAACUUCUACGAAGUGUACAUUGAAAAUCCCAAAGGAUGCUUCAAUCUAAAACUUCAGUAUGCUUUGUCAAAAAAAUAUGAACCGGUGUAUGAACCUGUCUGGACCUGUAAACUCCAAAAAGACGAUCAUCCAAAGUCUGGUUAUGGGGAAGGUCCAAGAUCCUCGAGGGGACUAACUGGUGUCACUACUGUUGACAAACACUGUGAAUAAGCUGCCUGCAGUGAUGCAGAAGGGACCAACGGCAGCAUCAGAUGGAGAGAGGCUUUAGGAGGGAGAAGCUCAAUGAAUUUAAGUUGUUUCUGAGGCACGGAAACAUCGUUACUGAACUUUCUCGCAUCCCAGAUGACAAACUGGAGAACACAGACCAGUCAGGCCUGUUCGAUCUCUUGCGUAGACUUACACUUAGCAGUCUGUGGAAGUGACCAAAGAUUUUUUUCAAGAAAUGUAAAAACCAAGACCUGGUGUAUAUGCCAUCAGACAUCAUGAUCCAAAGUUUCUUUUAAAAACUCACUGUUUAUCUAAUAAAAUGUUUUGCCUUUUGAUUGCACA
Molecule: non-coding RNA, 576 nt
Organism: Neolamprologus brichardi
Lineage: Eukaryota; Metazoa; Chordata; Actinopteri; Cichliformes; Cichlidae
Source: RefSeq, a predicted model, not a curated record